RNAcentral lists this non-coding RNA (42 nucleotides) under Perkinsus marinus. The record is from RNAcentral. Lineage: Eukaryota; Perkinsozoa; Perkinsida; Perkinsidae.
UUUUUUUUUUUUUUUUUUUUUUUUUUUUUUUUUUUUAUGAUG